AGCGCUGGUGAGGGGGUUACAGCGCUGCAACUUAGGAGGUGUACACAUCUGCAGGGCACCACCAGCGCUGCAACUCCCUGUUUGCAGCGCUGGCCGUACUCCCGUUUUGUCUCGGGUGUAGAGGAUCCAGCGCUGGUGAUCCAGCGCUGGUAAUCAAGUAUAGACACUUACCAGCGCUUUUCUUGACCUCCGUGGAAUAAGCAGGUAUCCCAGCAUACCUGAGGAAGCCUCUGGUAAUCAAGCUGGUCUCCUUUCCCGGUUUGCUCUCGCGUUCCCCGAACCCCGAGCAAGCAGGUCUCCUUCCCUGCGGUUUGCAGGGUGGUUCGGGGAACGCGAGAGCAAACUGCGGCGAAGCUGGUCUCCUUUCCCGGUUUGCUCUCUCGUUCCCCGAACCCCCGAGCAAGCAGGUCUCCUUCCCUGCGGUUUGCAGGGUGGUUCGGGGAACGCGAGAGCAAACCGCGGCGAAGCUGGUCUCCUUUCCCGGUUUGCUCUCUCGUUCCCUGAACCCCCGAGCAAGCAGGUCUCCUUCCCUGCGGUUUGCAGGGUGGUUCGGGGAACACGAGAGCAAACCACGGCGAAGCUGGUCUCCUUCCCCGGUUUGCUCUCGCGUUCCCCGAACCCCCGAGCAAGCAGGUCUCCUUCCCUGCGGUUUGCAGGGUGGUUCGGGGAACGCGAGAGCAAACCGCGGCGAAGCUGGUCUCCUUUCCCGGUUUGCUCUCUCGUUCCCCGAACCCCCGAGCAAGCAGGUCUCCUUCCCUGCGGUUUGCAGGGUGGUCCGCGGAACGCGAG
Long non-coding RNA from Gopherus flavomarginatus (Mexican gopher tortoise), 789 nucleotides. RefSeq lists it as uncharacterized. The record is from RefSeq and is a predicted model, not a curated record. The transcript is spliced from 3 exons. NCBI's taxonomy places the organism in Eukaryota, Metazoa, Chordata, Testudines, Testudinidae.